This 214-nucleotide unclassified non-coding RNA is filed under the name Hevea brasiliensis (rubber tree). Lineage: Eukaryota; Viridiplantae; Streptophyta; Magnoliopsida; Malpighiales; Euphorbiaceae. The record is from RNAcentral.
GGUAUAUAUGUUAUAUAUAUACAUGUUUCCCCUUACUCUUUCUUCUUAUUUUUUUGACUGAGAAAAGGUAGUACAUGUGCCACUCCUUAUUCACCACAACAUGUAUUUUUUUUAAAAAGUGCUUUCUCCUUUACCUUUUACAAUAAUAAGGUAAGCAUCCAGCAGUGGAUCAAUUAAAUGUCAUGAGCUGACCCCCUCUAAAAGUAAAGAUUAA